CCAAAUCUCUAGAUAUACAUAAAAAUAAAUUUAUAUUUUUCAAAUUUCGAUAGGUGGUAUAAAGUAUCAGAGGCGUACCAACAAUUUAUAUGUUAUGAGGCAAAAUAAUCGCGUACCAAUAAUUCGUGUGCCAUGAUACAAUCCCAAUUGAUCGAAAUUCUAUGCUACGUCUCAACAUUUGAACUUUCACCUCUUUGAUUCACCAUGUUGCAUGCGAGAGACAUCAACCAAGAAAAUUAUUCAUAUUGUUUGAACGUGUUUUUUUUGUUGAAUAAAAAUAUUUUUUUAUUUGUUCUAAGUUUAAAAGGCAACAAAAGAAAAAAAAACCAGACAAAAAAAACAGCGCCCAAUCAAAUCCAUCGUCUCACCCUUCUCCGUUACUAUGCCACAAGGCAUCUACACGCGCAUGAGGGGCGGUGUUCACUUGUCAAUUGCCUUGCUAGUUGCUACGUCUCCCUCACAAGUGAAAAAACCAACCAUACCGGACAACCUUAUAACAAAGAAUUAUGAGCUCCACGAAUCAAAUGCAUUAUUCAUUCGUUGGUUAACAAUACAUGAGAGUGGAGUUAGAAACGACAUAUUAUUAUUAGGUGGUGUAAAAAUUCCCACAUUUAGAGGUAUUAAUGGGGUUUCCAAGAUUCUUGAUAAGUAGCAAAAUAUAAUAUUUUUCACAAAUAUUAAUCUCUAUAUUGAAAAUUAAGAAAUAUUAAAUCACAUAAACCCAAAAAAACAGAUUUAAUUCUCCAUCGUUCAAUCAAAUUAUCUCUAUAUUUAAAUAUCACUUUGAAUCAUUGAAAUAUCACUUUGAAUCAUUUGCCUUACUAUUGGGACAACAGGGUUAAUCCGAUAAUCUUUUUUAUGAAACAUAAUGAUUAAGAAAAAUAUCUUCAAAACGUAGGUUUUGCUCAAAUACCUCUGUAAAAAACAAUCUAUCAUUUGCUGAAAUUCGGUAAUCAGAACGAGGAAUUUAAUUAUCAUCAUCGCAAAAUGCUACCAAAUUUCAAUCGAGGAUAAAUGAAAGCAAAAAUGGAAUUCGUGAGGCUCAGACACGCACAAAUUCGGUCAUCAAAUGAUGCUGCGUGAAGAGAAAAAUGGAUGAUUUAAAUCAUCCAUCAUCAAAUCACAAGCACCUAAUAAUCAGAAUCGAGAAAUGUUUUCUUUCUUCAUCGCCUCUUUGGAAAUCAAUCUUUGAAACGCUGAAGCAAGAAUUGAUGUUUGAUAAAAACAGAGAAAAAACAGAAAUCCAAAUUCAAGAAUCGAGUAUAUAGAAAAAGAUCGAUUGAAGUUACCUUUAAUCACAUCAUAGAUACUACUCAUGAGAACCCUAAUUUUAAAUAUCGUGGCGUUUAAAUACGCGAAAUUGAGAACCCUAAUUUUAGCAGAACUGAAGAGCAAGAACACUGC
Molecule: long non-coding RNA, 1404 nt
Filed under: Lactuca sativa (garden lettuce)
Lineage: Eukaryota; Viridiplantae; Streptophyta; Magnoliopsida; Asterales; Asteraceae
Description: long non-coding RNA (LSAT_LNC002565)
Source: RNAcentral